AGUAAUAUAUCGGAACGUGCCCAGUAAUGGGGGAUAGCCCGGCGAAAGCCGGAUUAAUACCGCAUACGACCUACGGGUGAAAGCAGGGGAUCGCAAGACCUUGCGUUAUUGGAGCGGCCGAUAUCAGAUUAGCUUGUUGGUGGGGUAAAAGCCCACCAAGGCGACGAUCUGUAGCUGGUCUGAGAGGACGACCAGCCACACUGGGACUGAGACACGGCCAG
RNAcentral lists this ribosomal RNA (221 nucleotides) under uncultured bacterium. RNAcentral's name for it is "partial 16S ribosomal RNA". It matches the Rfam family "Bacterial small subunit ribosomal RNA", at positions 109 to 334 of the family's 1533-position model. The record is from RNAcentral.